RNAcentral lists this long non-coding RNA (2636 nucleotides) under Homo sapiens (human). RNAcentral describes it as "HSALNT0360278". The record is from RNAcentral. Lineage: Eukaryota; Metazoa; Chordata; Mammalia; Primates; Hominidae.
CCUCCAAUAUUGGGAAUCACAUUUCAACAUGAGAUUUGGAAGGGACAAACACCUAAACCAUAGUACUCCCAGAGAGCAAAGCCAGUGCCUCAGAGGACUGUAGACUUAGGAGUUAUUUCCAGGGGGCCAGGGAGUUAUUAAUAUACAAGAGGCAGCUGGACAAACCAUGACAAUUUUCCACUGUCAGAGCAGGGAGUAUUUCCAAUUCAUGCCUAUCAGGAUUCAAUCAUUUCUAUGAAAGUGAUUGCUGUGUUUUCCAUUUCUCCUUUUUUCCAGUGGGGGCUUGAUGGAAGUUACGUUGUUCUUGCUCCACUAUUGGCUAUUGGGCAUCUUAAAGUCAUGGUUCACUAGACUAUAAAGAGCCACAUUUGGACACAGUCAAAAGGGCUGAGCUACACUCAAAGAUCCUGGACUUUUACGUUGGAUAUAGGUGGUUGCCUCCCUUGGGAAGGGACAUAGACAUAUGUUCUAUGUCUGGGAAGGGUGGGAAUAUGCUAGCCAGAGGGGCAGACUGUGGUGGCAAUUGUCAUUCCCCACCAAAUCUUCUUCGUCCACAGUUAUAUGUAGUUAGAAUGUAGUUAUCCAGGUGGGGACUGUAUUUACCAGCUUUUCGUGCACCCAGACAUGCCUUUUGUGGAAGUUCUCAUCAAUGGAAUGUGAACAGAAAGGAUGCAACUUCUGCCCCACUUGUUAAGAUGAAAUAUUUGCCCCUCAACUGCUUUGACCCUUCCUGCUAACUUGGAUGGCAACAACUAGAGCAGCCUUGGCAGCCCUAUGUUGAGGACAGAAAGCUGGUCACCAACAGGUACUCUUAUGUGAGUUAGGGCUGAGCUUCUAUCAUGUUUGAGCCAUUGCAUUUUUGGGUCUUUCUGUUAAAGUAGCUUACUGUCCCCUACUAUACCUUGGAGCAGUUACUUUAGAAAGCUUGGAAUUAUAAACCCUUCCUCUGCUACUUGAAGAUGUAAAUCUUUUACUGCACCAAUCAGCACUGUGUAAAAAUAUACCAGUCAACACUCUGUGUCUAGCUAAAAGAUUGUAAAUGCACCAAUCAGCACUCUGUAAAAUGGACCAAUCAGUGCUCUGUAAAAUGGACCAAUCAGCACUCUGUAAAAUGGAACAAUCAGCAGGACGUGGGCAGGGACAAAUAAGUGAAUAAAAGCUGGCCACCCCCAGCCAGCAGUGGCAACGUGCUCAGGUCCCCUUCUACACUGUGGAAGCUUUGUUCUUUUGCUCUUCACAAUAAAUCUUGCUGCUGCUCACUCUUUGGGUCCGUGCCACCUUUAAGAGCUGUAACUCCACAAAGGUCCGUGGCUUCAUUCUUGAAGUCAGCAAGACCAAGAACUCACUGGAAGGAACCAACUCUGGACAAAUCUUGGCAACCACGAAGGGACUAUUGCCAAGCUGCCAAGCAGAUUGAGGCCAUCAAGCUACAGAUGGUCUUACAAAUGGAACCCCAAUGAGCUCAACUAACAACUUCUACUGAGGACCCCUGCACCAACCCGCUGGCCCUUUGACUGGCAUAAAGAGUUCCCCUCUGGAGGACACUACAACUGCAGGGCUCCUUCUUCAACCCAUCCAGCAGGAAGUAGCUACAGAGGUCAUUGCCCAAUUCCCAACAGCUCUUGGGGUGUCCUCUUUAGAGGGGGGAUUGAGAGGUGAAGCCAGCUAGACUUCCUGGGUUGAGUAGGGACUUGGAGAACUUUUCUGUCUAGCUAGAGGAUUGUAAAUGCACCAAUCAGUGCUCUGUGUCUAGCUGAAGGACUGUAAAUGCACCAAUCAGCACUCUGUAAAAACACACCAAUCAGUGCUCUGUGUCUAGCUAGAAGAUUGUAAAUGCACCAAUCAGCACUCUGUAAAAAUGCACCAAUCAACACUCUGUGUCUAGCUAAAGGAUUGUAAAUGCACCAAUCAGCAUUCUUUACAAUGGACCAAUCAGCGCUCUGUAAAAUGGACCAAGCAGCAGGAUGAGGGCAGUGACAAAUAAAUAAAUAAAAGCUGGCCACCCGAGCCAGCAGCAGCAACCCAGUCAGGUCCCCUUCCACGCUACGGAAGCUUUGUUCUUUCGCUCUUCACAAUAAAUCUUGCUGCUGCUCACUCUGGGUCUGUGCCACCUUGAAGAGCUGUAACACUCACCACAAAGGUCCGCGGCUUCAUUCUUGAAGUCAGUGAGGCCAAGAACCCACCGGAAGGAACCAACUCCGGACACAUGACCACUGAGAACUGUCUUCUCAAGGACCUGGGGGUUUGUCUCUUGAAUUGCAAGCCUUCAAGGAGGUGGUUCUCAUUCUCAUUCCCAGUCCCUGUGGCUACCUUGCUCUCUUACACCACUGCUUGUCAUGAAGACAGAAAAAUUAUGUCUCCUCUGGAUAAGCAUGGAUUAACACACCCAGAUGGCCUAGUUGCAGGACGAACCAACCCUUCACACUCCUCAGCACCUUUCCCUUAGCACACCACAGCCUCUAAAAAGCCUCCAAAUUUUUGUUUCAGCAAAGUUGUGUUCAGUUCAUGCUGGACCCAAUUCCCUAGCAAUAGUUUUCAUUAAAUAAAAUCUAAUUUACUGCUUUAACGAGUGUCCCACUUAAAAAAUUUUUCUUGACAGUAAGCACAUGAAAUCGUUAUUGAAUUAAUAAACUUAG